RNAcentral lists this ribosomal RNA (481 nucleotides) under uncultured bacterium. Its description in RNAcentral is "partial 16S ribosomal RNA". It matches the Rfam family "Bacterial small subunit ribosomal RNA", at positions 28 to 523 of the family's 1533-position model. The record is from RNAcentral.
GACGAACGCUGGCGGCGUGCUUAACACAUGCAAGUCGAGCGGAAAGGCCACUUCGGUGGUACUCGAGCGGCGAACGGGUGAGUAACACGUGAGUAAUCUGCCCCUGGCUUUGGGAUAGCCACCGGAAACGGUGAUUAAUACCGGAUACGACAACUUCUCGAAUGGGAUGGUGGUGGAAAGUUUUUUCGGCCAGGGAUGUGCUCGCGGCCUAUCAGCUUGUUGGUGCGGUAAUGGCUCGCCAUGGCUUCGACGGGUAGCCGGCCUGAGAGGGUGACGGGUCACACUAGGACUGAGACACUGCCCAGACUCCUACGGGAGGCAGCAGUGGGGAAUAUUGGACAAUGAGCGGAAGACUGAUCCAGCAACGCCGCGUGAGGGAUGACGGCCUUCGGGUUGUAAACCUCUUUCAGCAGGGACGAAGCGCGAGUGACGGUACCUGCAGAAGAAGCACCGGCCAACUACGUGCCAGCCGCCGCAGUAA